This 1053-nucleotide ribosomal RNA is filed under the name uncultured Propionibacterium sp. RNAcentral's name for it is "bacterial SSU rRNA". It matches the Rfam family "Bacterial small subunit ribosomal RNA", at positions 333 to 1394 of the family's 1533-position model. Lineage: Bacteria; Bacillati; Actinomycetota; Actinomycetes; Propionibacteriales; Propionibacteriaceae. The record is from RNAcentral.
AGACUCCUACGGGAGGCAGCAGUGGGGAAUAUUGCACAAUGGGCGGAAGCCUGAUGCAGCAACGCCGCGUGCGGGAUGACGGCCUUCGGGUUGUAAACCGCUUUCGCCUGUGACGAAGCGUGAGUGACGGUAAUGGGUAAAGAAGCACCGGCUAACUACGUGCCAGCAGCCGCGGUGAUACGUAGGGUGCGAGCGUUGUCCGGAUUUAUUGGGCGUAAAGGGCUCGUAGGUGGUUGAUCGCGUCGGAAGUGUAAUCUUGGGGCUUAACCCUGAGCGUGCUUUCGAUACGGGUUGACUUGAGGAAGGUAGGGGAGAAUGGAAUUCCUGGUGGAGCGGUGGAAUGCGCAGAUAUCAGGAGGAACACCAGUGGCGAAGGCGGUUCUCUGGGCCUUUCCUGACGCUGAGGAGCGAAAGCGUGGGGAGCGAACAGGCUUAGAUACCCUGGUAGUCCACGCUGUAAACGGUGGGUACUAGGUGUGGGGUCCAUUCCACGGGUUCCGUGCCGUAGCUAACGCUUUAAGUACCCCGCCUGGGGAGUACGGCCGCAAGGCUAAAACUCAAAGGAAUUGACGGGGCCCCGCACAAGCGGCGGAGCAUGCGGAUUAAUUCGAUGCAACGCGUAGAACCUUACCUGGGUUUGACAUGGAUCGGGAGCGCUCAGAGAUGGGUGUGCCUCUUUUGGGGUCGGUUCACAGGUGGUGCAUGGCUGUCGUCAGCUCGUGUCGUGAGAUGUUGGGUUAAGUCCCGCAACGAGCGCAACCCUUGUUCACUGUUGCCAGCACGUUAUGGUGGGGACUCAGUGGAGACCGCCGGGGUCAACUCGGAGGAAGGUGGGGAUGACGUCAAGUCAUCAUGCCCCUUAUGUCCAGGGCUUCACGCAUGCUACAAUGGCUGGUACAGAGAGUGGCGAGCCUGUGAGGGUGAGCGAAUCUCGGAAAGCCGGUCUCAGUUCGGAUUGGGGUCUGCAACUCGACCUCAUGAAGUCGGAGUCGCUAGUAAUCGCAGAUCAGCAACGCUGCGGUGAAUACGUUCCCGGGCCUUGUACACACCGCC